UAGGGAAUCUUCCACAAUGGACGAAAGUCUGAUGGAGCAACGCCGCGUGUGUGAUGAAGGGUUUCGGCUCGUAAAACACUGUUGUAAGAGAAGAAUGACACUGAGAGUAACUGUUCAGUGUGUGACGGUAUCCAACCAGAAAGCCACGGCCAACUACGUGCCAGCAGCCGCGGUAAUACGUAGGUGGCAAGCGUUGUCCGGAUUUAUUGGGCGUAAAGAGAGCGCAGGCGGUUUAUUAAGUCUGAUGUGAAAGCCCCCGGCUUAACCGGGGAAGUGCAUCGGAAACUGGUAGACUUGAGUGCAGAAGAGGGUAGUGGAACUCCAUGUGUAGCGGUGGAAUGCGUAGAUAUAUGGAAGAACACCAGUGGCGAAGGCGGCUACCUGGUCUGUAACUGACGCUGAGGCUCGAAAGCAUGGGGAGCGAACA
This 427-nucleotide ribosomal RNA is filed under the name uncultured bacterium. RNAcentral's name for it is "bacterial SSU rRNA". It matches the Rfam family "Bacterial small subunit ribosomal RNA", at positions 355 to 774 of the family's 1533-position model. The record is from RNAcentral.